Molecule: ribosomal RNA, 440 nt
Filed under: uncultured bacterium
Lineage: Bacteria
Description: partial 16S ribosomal RNA
Rfam family: Bacterial small subunit ribosomal RNA
Source: RNAcentral
CCUACGGGUGGCAGCAGUGGGGAAUAUUGCACAAUGGGGGAAACCCUGAUGCAGCGACGCCGCGUGAGGGAAGAAGUAUUUCGGUACGUAAAGCUCUAUCAGCAGGGAAGAAAAUGACGGUACCUGACUAAGAAGCCCCGGCUAACUACGUGCCAGCAGCCGCGGUAAUACGUAGGGGGCAAGCGUUACCCGGAUUUACUGGGUGGAAAGGGUGCGUAGGCGGGAGCAUAAGUCAGAAGUGAAAUCCCAUGGCUUAACCAUGGAACUGCUUUUGAAACUGUUCAGCUAGAGUGCAGGAGAGGUAGGCGGAAUUCCUGGUGUAGCGGUGAAAUGCGUAGAUAUUAGGAGGAAUACCAGUGGCGAAGGCGGCUUACUGGACUGUAACUGACGUUGAGGCUCGAAAGCGUGGGGAGCAAACAGGAUUAGAUACCCUGGUAGUC